Lactuca sativa (garden lettuce) is the source of this 107-nucleotide small nucleolar RNA. NCBI's taxonomy places the organism in Eukaryota, Viridiplantae, Streptophyta, Magnoliopsida, Asterales, Asteraceae. The record is from RefSeq and is a predicted model, not a curated record.
AAUUCAUGAUGGGGGCAUGAACACAACAAUUCCUUGAAUCAUUGAAAUGCAUCCUGGAAUUCUUCGUUGGUUUUUCUUGCAAAAUCUUGUAUUUCUUUUCUUAUUUU